UGAGUGUGUAGGUGUGUAAGUGUGUAGGUGUGUAAGUGUGUAGGUGUGUAGGUGUGUGAGUGUGUAAGUGUGUGAGUGUGUAAGUGUGUAGGUGUGUGAGUGUGUGAGUGUGUAGGUGUGUGAGUGUGUAAGUGUGUAGGUGUGUGAGUGUGUAAGUGUGUAAGUGUGUGAGUGUGUGAGUGUGUGAGUGUGUAAGUGUGUAGGUGUGUGAGUGUGUGAGUGUGUGAGUGUGUAAGUGUGUAGGUGUGUGAGUGUGUGAGUGUGUAGGUGUGUGAGUGUGUAGGUGUGUAAGUGUGUAGGUGUGUAGGUGUGUAGGUGUGUGAGUGUGUGAGUGUGUAGGUGUGUAGGUGUGUAGUGUGUAGGUGUGUGAGUGUGUGAGCGUGUAGGCGUGUAGGUGUGUAAGUGUGUGAGUGUGUGAGUGUGUAGGUGUGUGAGUGUGUGAGUGUGUAAGUGUGUGAGUGUGUAGUGUGUAG
Molecule: long non-coding RNA, 473 nt
Organism: Ictalurus punctatus (channel catfish)
Lineage: Eukaryota; Metazoa; Chordata; Actinopteri; Siluriformes; Ictaluridae
Source: Ensembl